UCUGCUUACCAGUAAAAGAAUGGUUGGGUGCUUUCACUUGCAAACCAGACGUCAUAAUACAAAUGUAAGUUGUGCCCAUACCUAUGUCUUGGAUCAAUCUGCAAAUGUCAACAUUGGAUCAGUCUAUGUUUCUAAAAGAUUUGUUCAGCAGAAGAUUGUGAAACUGAGACAUGGAUUCUUACAGCUUCUAGCCAAUGUCUCAAUGCUAGUUGCUGAGCUUUCUCAUCUUUGGAGAGACCCUUACCAACCUGAAAAGGAUGAAUUCAUGAUAGAUUAGAUUAACAUGGUGAUUAAAAUCCAAUGUUUGGGCUCUAAAGUGACAUUAAGAAACAAAUCUGCAUACUCUGGCUAGUCUUUUCUUUGCCCUUGCCCACUUAGAAACUGCAGGCUCCGGCUUCUCAACGUUGAAAAAUGACACAGAGCUGCUUCUGAGAGAUGCAAAAUCAAGUGCUCUCCACCUACAAUUUGAGGAGUUCAUGACUCUGAGUCAGCAGCCAACUUAAGAAAAGAAUUGAGAUUACUAACCAGAAUUCUUCCACAAGUACUGCACAAUCUGCAAGAUUCCUCCUUGUUCUGUAACUCUUGUAGACCUUUUGCAGCGUGGUUGCUGCUGCAUCGAGUUCGCAUAAUGGCCUCGGGGAUGAGAACUCGAGCAGCUGCCGCUGGGGGAGCUCGACAAUCGGCGCUGGAAAAUUUGCUUGAAUCUUGAGUUCUUCUACGGCCUGCUUAUCAGUAGCUGCUCCUUCGAUCUUUGUCACCUGGGGCUCCCAGUGCUUGAAGCUCAGUGAUCUCUCCAUCCCUGGUGCUUCGCUGGAUACCAUCUUAUUCGACGAAUCACUUCUUUUGAAACUGAUCGAUUUUCUCAAGAUCUUGUUGGAUUCUCUGUCACCGAAACUCAUAGAUCUCGCUACUGCAACCUUUGUCUCGGCCAAGCAGAAGACUUUAUUACUCAUGACAAUUGCAGAACCUAGAAUUCACAGGAUAUUGGAGAGGAGGGAACAGAGGAUUCUCUAUAAAAUGUGAAGAACAGGACAAGAACAAGAUCAGAGAUUUGAGAACUCUACCUGACUACUAUUUGAUCCGAUCGACGAGAAGAUUUAGGAGGUGAGUGUUUAGAGAUCUCUUGCCAAUAGCAGAUGAUAUAUAUGAAGGGGUAUGACCAUACGAUCCACCUUCAUGGAAGUUACUUGGUCGACCGUCAACGGCUUGAACUGCAGAGUUCCAAUCCACGGCUUUGAAGUCUUCAAAAGACAAACCGAAAGUUUGAAGAAGUAUGUAAGCCAACAUCACUAAAGCUCAAGCAACCAGCGACCACAGGUUUGAAUUCCAAUAGAUUAAUUUUGACAUAAGUUAUUUAGUAAAAUCAUUUGAUUUAUUGAAAAUUUGGAGUUUUAUAAUCUUCAGUUAGUCUUUAUGUUUUGUGUAAUUAGUUCAAUUUUGAUACAAAGUAUACUUUUGGGUGGUUAGGCUGCUAGUCAGUCAUGAAUAGGAUGGUCAAACUUGGUAUU
Zingiber officinale is the source of this 1508-nucleotide long non-coding RNA. RefSeq lists it as uncharacterized. NCBI's taxonomy places the organism in Eukaryota, Viridiplantae, Streptophyta, Magnoliopsida, Zingiberales, Zingiberaceae. The record is from RefSeq and is a predicted model, not a curated record. The transcript is spliced from 3 exons.